Molecule: ribosomal RNA, 1050 nt
Filed under: Crypturgus alutaceus
Lineage: Eukaryota; Metazoa; Arthropoda; Insecta; Coleoptera; Curculionidae
Description: partial large subunit ribosomal RNA
Rfam family: Eukaryotic large subunit ribosomal RNA
Source: RNAcentral
UAGAGAAGAGUUCAAGAGUACGUGAAACCGUUUAGGGGUAAACCUGAGAAACCCGAAAGGUCGAAGGGAGAAAUUCAUUCGCGUCUCGAUGUCGGCGUCAGACGAUCGAGUGACGAAAAGCGUUCGCGUUUUUUGCGCCGAUCGUUUGUCGAACUGGCUACGUACGCGUGCACUUUUCUCCUGGUAGGACGUCGCGAUCCGUUGGGUGUCUGUCUACGGCUCGCGGUGGUGUCCGUCCGUCGCCUCGGCGUCGGACGAACCCGCGAUGACCCGGCCGACUUGCUCGACGGUAUACGAACGGUCGGAGGCCGCUCUCAGAGCGUUCGACUCGUUGCAAGCGCGCCAGUCGCGUUGGAACGCGGACCUAGUGCCGCGCCCGACCGCUGGUGACUGUUGGCCACGAAGUUCUCGAACAGACCUCUAUACAACAAUUAAGACCGAUCUGCGACGCUAUAGGUUUGGGUACUUUCAGGACCCGUCUUGAAACACGGACCAAGGAGUCUAGCAUGUGCGCGAGUCAUUGGGAAUCGUUAAACCUAAAGGCGCAAUGAAAGUAAAUGUCUUCCUCGCGAGGACAUAGGGAAGACGGGCGGUUUUAAAAAGGCCGCUCAGCAUUCCCGGGGCGUCUCGUUCUCAUCGCGAGAAGAGGCGCACCAAGAGCGUACACGCUGGGACCCGAAAGAUGGUGAACUAUGCCUGGUCAGGACGAAGUCAGGGGAAACCCUGAUGGAGGUCCGUAGCGAUUCUGACGUGCAAAUCGAUCGUCGGAACUGGGUAUAGNNNNNNNNNNNNNNNNNNNNNNNNNNNNNNNNNNNNNNNNGGGCGAAAGACUAAUCGAACCAUCUAGUAGCUGGUUCCCUCCGAAGUUUCCCUCAGGAUAGCUGGCGCUCGUCGCGCACGAGUCUCAUCCGGUAAAGCGAAUGAUUAGAGGCAUUGGGGUCGAAACGACCUCAACCUAUUCUCAAACUUUAAAUGGGUGAGAUCUCCGGCUUGCUCGAAUCGAUGAAGCCGCGAGACACGGAUCAAAGUGCCAAGUGGGCCAUUUUUGGU